UUGGACUUCAUCCAAAUUUAAACUUUUUAUAUUCCUUCAGAGAAGGUCAGCAUGGCCCCUAUGCAAGCAUGCCAUGCAAAUUCAUGAAGUGCUCCGUAUUUUU
Small nuclear RNA from Moschus moschiferus (Siberian musk deer), 103 nucleotides. NCBI's taxonomy places the organism in Eukaryota, Metazoa, Chordata, Mammalia, Artiodactyla, Moschidae. The record is from Ensembl.